RNAcentral lists this transfer RNA (85 nucleotides) under Burkholderia pseudomallei. RNAcentral describes it as "tRNA-Leu(gag)". Lineage: Bacteria; Pseudomonadati; Pseudomonadota; Betaproteobacteria; Burkholderiales; Burkholderiaceae. The record is from RNAcentral.
GCCGAGCGGCGCGACGGCAGCGCGGCGCGCUGAGGCCGCGUGAGGCAUGCGUCGCGAAGCGCCGCUCGAGCCGGCGUGCUCGGCG